GCUUCGGUGGCGUAAUCGGUAAGCGCAACCGACUGGACAUCUGUGAGUGUGGUUUCGAAUGCCGCCUUAGGUU
This 73-nucleotide transfer RNA is filed under the name Dictyocaulus viviparus (bovine lungworm). It matches the Rfam family "tRNA". Rfam says of the family: Transfer RNA (tRNA) molecules are approximately 80 nucleotides in length. Their secondary structure includes four short double-helical elements and three loops (D, anti-codon, and T loops). Further hydrogen bonds mediate the characteristic L-shaped molecular structure. tRNAs have two regions of fundamental functional importance: the anti-codon, which is responsible for specific mRNA codon recognition, and the 3' end, to which the tRNAs corresponding amino acid is attached (by aminoacyl-tRNA synthetases). tRNAs cope with the degeneracy of the genetic code in two manners: having more than one tRNA (with a specific anti-codon) for a particular amino acid; and 'wobble' base-pairing, i.e. permitting non-standard base-pairing at the 3rd anti-codon position. Lineage: Eukaryota; Metazoa; Nematoda; Chromadorea; Rhabditida; Metastrongylidae. The record is from Rfam by way of RNAcentral.